UUUAAAGACAUUGUUUACCUCCCCCAGUGGAGUGGGAGCCCCGGGAGAGCUGCCAUUCUGCUGCUCACCUUUCUAUCCUAAGCUCUUCGCUCGCUGCCCGGCCUCUAGCAAGCGUGCGGUAAACACCUGUUAAGUGGGUGCGAGCCAAGUCCCAUUUCUUUUCACUUUUCGGGCUAUGACUUGAGAUCUUCCCAAAGAGCAGAUGAUGCUUGUGUGGGAACUCCAGACUUUUGCAUUAUAGCCUUCCUGCUUUCCUCUUCUGUUACUGGAAGCUUUGCACGCCUGUGACUUUGGAGGAAGACUCUGCUGAUAGAGAGAGAGACAGAGCAUGAGCGGGGAAAGGGCAGAGAGAGAGGGAGACACAGAAUCCGAAGCAGGCUUCAGGCUCUCAGCUGUCAGCACAGAGCCUGAUGCGGGGCUCGAACUCACAGACUGCGAGAUCAUGACCUGAGCCGAAGUCGGACACUCAACUGACUCAGCCACCCAGGCGCCCAGACUGCACAAUCUUUGACCAAGAUUAUAACUCCAGGUUCCAUGUUGGACAAGAUGAUCUGUAGAGCUGAGCUGUGUUAUCAAAGCAAGGUCCUAGAUACAAGAUUCACACUGUGAUUUGGAAAGGCCUGUCUCAACUUUGUUGCACCUGGCAGGUCGUCCUCUCUAAUCAUUUCCCCCUUCACUUUUCAGACCUUCUAAACUCUAGGAAAGCACCAUCACUAAACUGAACCAUUUUUUUUU
This is a long non-coding RNA of Acinonyx jubatus (cheetah), 735 nucleotides long. RefSeq lists it as uncharacterized. The transcript has 2 exons. The record is from RefSeq and is a predicted model, not a curated record. NCBI's taxonomy places the organism in Eukaryota, Metazoa, Chordata, Mammalia, Carnivora, Felidae.